This 305-nucleotide ribosomal RNA is filed under the name uncultured bacterium. RNAcentral describes it as "bacterial SSU rRNA". It matches the Rfam family "Bacterial small subunit ribosomal RNA", at positions 336 to 634 of the family's 1533-position model. The record is from RNAcentral.
UUCCUACGGGGGGCAGCAGUAGGGAAUUUUCGUCAAUGGGCGCAAGCCUGAACGAGCAAUGCCGCGUGAACGAGGAAGGUCUUCGGAUCGUAAAGUUCUGUUGAAGGGGAAAAAGAGCGGAGAGAGGAAAUGAACUCCGAUUGAUAUUACCCUUCGAGGAAGUCACGGCUAACUACGUGCCAGCAGCCGCGGUAAUACGGAGGAUGCGAGCGUUAUCCGGAUUUAUUGGGUUUAAAGGGUGCGUAGGCGGGACGGUAAGUCAGCGGUAAAAAUGCGGAGCUCAACUCCGUCGAGCCGUUGAAACU